CCGGGGGGCGGGGGUGGGGGGAUGAGCGGGGACUCGGGACCGGCCUGGGGGACGCAAAACCCUGGGCAGAAGGGAAAGUUACGUUACCGACGUGCUUCCGUUCCUGUUUCCUCACCUGCCCUCCGGAGGUUGUCAACACCUCUGCUUGCCUUAGUGGCUGGGACAGUGUUGGCCUCCCCAGGUCCUCGAGGGCACGGAGCUCUUCACCCGCUGGUUCUGUGCGGACAAUACGGAGAGAUUCUAAAGGGAUGUUGAGCAUCUUUUCAUGUUCUCACUGACGAUUCAGAAGUCUACUUUGGAAAAAUUCUCCGAGAAGUGGAUGCUCCCAAAUGCUGCUGGACAGGAUGCAGCUGCCAGAAAGCCGGUGGGGAUGUUUCCUUACCUGCUUCUGCUCAAGGGCAGGAGAUCCUCCAGGGCAGAUCCUCUGUCAGCCACAGGAUCUAACCCUAUUGGCUCCAAUCAGAUCCUGGAAAACAGGUCGUCCUCUGCGGGUGGCCUUGCCAAGCAACAGAAGAUAGGCAUAUAUAUACAUGCCAUCCCCGGGACCAUGGCUCAUCUCUGAGAGCAGAAAAUGCACACUGAUCGAGACAGUCUCCUUCUUCUGAACUGUACCUGUGGACUCAAACAGCUCAUGCUGACAAGACUCCCUGCUCACACGGCUCUUCUCGUUCACAUUCACACCCCUACCCCCACCCCCUAACCCCCAACCACCCUGAUGCCAAUGCCAACACCACCCAAACACACAACUUACAUUUUUCCAAUACCAUACUGCAAAGAGUUUGUACUUGUGCCUCCCCCUCUCCGUAGACGUCUCCCAAUAGGUCUGCAGGAUUCUUUUCUGUGAAUCUUUCAAAUCCAUUUUGUGCACUUGGUUUGCUCUGUUCACUGCAUUUUUCACUGCUCUGGAUUUCUUUG
Long non-coding RNA from Hippopotamus amphibius kiboko, 915 nucleotides. RefSeq lists it as uncharacterized. The transcript is spliced from 3 exons. The record is from RefSeq and is a predicted model, not a curated record. Lineage: Eukaryota; Metazoa; Chordata; Mammalia; Artiodactyla; Hippopotamidae.